This 253-nucleotide ribosomal RNA is filed under the name uncultured Acidobacteriota bacterium. RNAcentral's name for it is "uncultured Acidobacteria bacterium partial 16S ribosomal RNA". It matches the Rfam family "Bacterial small subunit ribosomal RNA", at positions 524 to 776 of the family's 1533-position model. Lineage: Bacteria; Pseudomonadati; Acidobacteriota. The record is from RNAcentral.
UACAGAGGUGGCAAGCGUUGUUCGGAAUUACUGGGCGUAAAGGGCGUGUAGGCGGCCGCCUAAGUCAGACGUGAAAUCCCCAGGCUUAACCUGGGAACUGCGUCUGAUACUGGGUGGCUUGAGUUCGGGAGAGGAAUGUGGAAUUCCAGGUGUAGCGGUGAAAUGCGUAGAUAUCUGGAGGAACACCGGUGGCGAAGGCGGCAUUCUGGACCGAAACUGACGCUGCAGCGCGAAAGCCAGGGGAGCAAACGGG